UACGGGGGGAGCAAGCGUUGUUCGGAUUUACUGGGCGUAAAGGGCGCGUCGGCGGCCACCGCAAGUCGACUGUGAAAUCUCCGGGCUUAACCCGGAAAGGUCAGCCGAUACUGCGGGGCUAGAGUGCAGAAGGGGCAACUGGAAUUCUCGGUGUAGCGGUGAAAUGCGUAGAUAUCGAGAGGAACACCUGCGGCGAAGGCGGGUUGCUGGGCUGACACUGACGCUGAUGCGCGAAAGCGUGGGGAGCAAACAGG
RNAcentral lists this ribosomal RNA (254 nucleotides) under uncultured bacterium. RNAcentral describes it as "partial 16S ribosomal RNA". It matches the Rfam family "Bacterial small subunit ribosomal RNA", at positions 524 to 776 of the family's 1533-position model. The record is from RNAcentral.